Molecule: long non-coding RNA, 328 nt
Organism: Pan troglodytes (chimpanzee)
Lineage: Eukaryota; Metazoa; Chordata; Mammalia; Primates; Hominidae
Exons: 2
Source: RefSeq, a predicted model, not a curated record
CUGGGACAAUAGGCCAAGAAGAAUGUCAGGCCAGAGAAAGGUGUCCAUAAGAAGAAUACAAAAUGCAGAAUUCAGAAAUAGCUGUUGUGCCAGAUGAACAAGAUAGGGACUAUAAGAGAGAGCCCUAGCAGCUGCCUGGUUUCAUUACAAGUCCCACAGGACAGGCUGUGCCUAAUAUUAGAGCCAAAUCCUGGUUCUCAAAGCAAAGCAUGAGACACUUUCAGCCAACCAGUCAAGGAGCAGAAUCAUUCGUGGGAAAGGCAAGCACUAGCUUCUGAAACUUUGGCUUUUUCUCCCUUGCCUGAAGAUUAAAACAAACAAAACAUUA